RNAcentral lists this ribosomal RNA (594 nucleotides) under uncultured bacterium. RNAcentral's name for it is "bacterial SSU rRNA". It matches the Rfam family "Bacterial small subunit ribosomal RNA", at positions 647 to 1226 of the family's 1533-position model. The record is from RNAcentral.
UCUGGUAGAGGGUAGGGGAAUUUUCCGGUGUAGCGGUGAAAUGCGUAGAGAUCGGAAAGAACAUCCAGUGGGCGAAGGCGCCUACCUGGACCAAGACUGACGCUGAGGUGCGAAAGCCGUGGGGAGCCAAACAGGAUUUAGAUACCCUGGUAGUCCCACGCCGUAAACGAUGUCAACUAGCCCGUUGGAUUCCAUUUAAGAAUUUAGUGGCGCCAGCUAACCGCGUUAAGUUGACCGCCUGGGGAGUACGGCCGCAAGGUUAAAACUCCAAAGGAAUUGACGGGGGCCCGCACAAGGCGGUGGAGCCAUGUGGUUUAAUUCGAUGCAACGCGAAGAACCUUACCAUCCCUUGACAUCCUCAGAACUUGUAAGAGAUUACUUGGUGCCUUCGGGAACUGAGUGACAGGUGCUGCAUGGCUGUCGUCAGCUCGUGUCGUGAGAUGUUGGGUUAAGUCCCGCAACGAGCGCAACCCUUGUCCCUAGUUGCCAGCAUUUAGUUGGGCACUCUAUGGAGACUGCCGGUGACAAACCGGAGGAAGGUGGGGAUGACGUCAAGUCAUCCAUGGCCCUUAUGGGAUGGGCUACACACGUGCU